Schistocerca americana (American grasshopper) is the source of this 1042-nucleotide long non-coding RNA. RefSeq lists it as uncharacterized. The transcript has 4 exons. Lineage: Eukaryota; Metazoa; Arthropoda; Insecta; Orthoptera; Acrididae. The record is from RefSeq and is a predicted model, not a curated record.
GGAACGAAACGACUCUCAAAUAAUGUGAGAAAGGACAGCGAAUUGAAAUCGUCUGGAUUUGAGUCGGAAAGGCAGCGAAAUUUUAAUAACAGCCCCUACCACAAUGCAUGAUCAACUAAACUCUGUCGAUAUAUCGGACAAUAAGGUUAAUCCUGCUUUGUAACACAAAGUGAAAACCGUGUGAUAUUGCCCAUGCACUUGACACUAAUUUAUUUGUUUUAUUUGUUUUUGUUUGUUUCAGGUGAUUAAGAAAUUACUGUAGCACAUACAGAACCGGUAAAAUGAUGUAAUUUUGAAGAUUACUGAUUUAAAAAAAUUCUUUCAGCUAUUUACAUACUCCUCAGCACUAUCUGAGAACGAAGAAAGAGGAAGAAUGAGUUAUUCCAGAAGGGAGUACACCUUUAUUUCAUACAGCUGCCAUGUAAAAUGGCUUGUAGUUGAUUAUGCUCUUGAUACUAAUUAAACCAUGUUUCACUUUCCAGAUUGGUACAAACUUGACUGCAGAAGUUGGUAAAAUGUCGAAGAGAUCACUUUAACUCGUAGAUUGAAAUGAAGGCAGCACAAUUUUGAAGCUUUUCUACCACACUGCAAGACUAAUUAAAAAGUGGAAUCCAACCGCAAUCAAAGAUGUUCACAAAAUUGAUUUGAGGUAGACUCUGGAUAGCAAAGGACGGCAUUCGUACUGUUUUUCUGAUUGAAAACAUCUAAAAUACUACUCCACACAAUGUGAGUGUUCUUACAGUGAGAAUGAAUUGGACACGGAGAUGGGUACAAAACCGACUAACAGACAGUGUGCAAAAGUCGAAAGAAACCAAGUGCGUGACUGUAUCGGACAUCACAGCACAUUGUGAUGCUGCUUUAAACAGUGAAAAUUCAUUGGACUCAUAGAUGCGUACCAACGGACUCCCACAUAAUGUGGGAAAAGACAGAGGAGUAAUUUCGGCUGGAUUUUAGUCUUUUGCAAGUGAUUAAAGGUCUUUAAAUAGAUAGUCAGGCAGCAGUUAGAGUGGGCGGUAAUUUGAGCUCUUGGUUUAUCGUAGUU